AAUCAACGCUGGCGGCGUGCCUAACACAUGCAAGUCGAACGCGAAAGCCCCGCAAGGGGUAAGUAGAGUGGCAAACGGGUGAGUAACACGUGGGUGACCUGCCUUCGAGUGGGGGAUAACGUCCCGAAAGGGACGCUAAUACCGCAUGACAUCCUGCUUUUGAAAAAGCGGAGAUCAAAGCUGGGGAUCGCAAGACCUAGCGCUUGAAGAGUGGCCCGCGCCUGAUUAGCUAGUUGGCGAGGUAACGGCUCACCAAGGCGACGAUCAGUAUCCGGCCUGAGAGGGCGGACGGGCACACUGAGACUGAGACACGGCCCAGACUCCUACGGGAGGCAGCAGUGGGGAAUUGUGCGCAAUGGGCGCAAGCCUGACGACGCAACGCCGCGUGGAGGAAGAAGAUCUUCGGGUCGUAAACUCCUGUCGGGCGGGACGAACGCUUCGCGGAUGAAUAAUCCGCGGAAUUGACGGUACCGCUAAAGGAAGCCCCGGCUAACUCCG
RNAcentral lists this ribosomal RNA (498 nucleotides) under uncultured bacterium. Its description in RNAcentral is "partial 16S ribosomal RNA". It matches the Rfam family "Bacterial small subunit ribosomal RNA", at positions 29 to 505 of the family's 1533-position model. The record is from RNAcentral.